CCUACGGGGGGCAGCAGUGAGGAAUCUUGCGCAAUGGGCGAAAGCCUGACGCAGCGACGCCGCGUGAGGGAUGAAGGCCUUCGGGUUGUAAACCUCUGUCAGGGGGGAAGAACCCUCGGGCGGUGAAUAACCGCCCGGGCUGACGGUACCCCCAGAGGAAGCACCGGCUAACUCCGUGCCAGCAGCCGCGGUAAGACGGAGGGUGCGAACGUUGUUCGGAAUCACUGGGCGUAAAGGGCGCGUAGGCGGACCUGUAAGUCGGGAGUGAAAACUCGGGGCUCAACUCCGAGCCUGCUUCCGAAACUGCGGGUCUUGAGGACCGGAGAGGAGAGUGGAAUUCCUGGUGUAGCGGUGGAAUGCGUAGAUAUCAGGAAGAACACCGGUGGCGAAGGCGACUCUCUGGACGGUUCCUGACGCUGAGGCGCGAAAGCUGGGGGAG
This 439-nucleotide ribosomal RNA is filed under the name uncultured Ammonifex sp. Its description in RNAcentral is "bacterial SSU rRNA". It matches the Rfam family "Bacterial small subunit ribosomal RNA", at positions 338 to 768 of the family's 1533-position model. Lineage: Bacteria; Bacillati; Bacillota; Clostridia; Thermoanaerobacterales; Thermoanaerobacteraceae. The record is from RNAcentral.